AUGAACGCUGGCGGCGUGCCUAAUACAUGCCAGUCGAGCGAACAGACGAGGAGCUUGCUUCUCUGACGUUAGCGGCGGACGGGUGAGUAACACGUGGAUAACCUACCUAUAAGACUGGGAUAACUUCGGGAAACCGGAGCUAAUACCGGAUAAUAUAUUGAACCGCAUGGUUCCAUAGUGAAAGACGGUUUUGCUGUCACUUAUAGAUGGAUCCGCGCCGCAUUAGCUAGUUGGUAAGGUAACGGCUUACCAAGGCAACGAUGCGUAGCCGACCUGAGAGGGUGAUCGGCCACACUGGAACUGAGACACGGUCCAGACUCCUACGGGAGGCAGCAGUAGGGAAUCUUCCGCAAUGGGCGAAAGCCUGACGGAGCAACGCCGCGUGAGUGAUGAAGGUCUUCGGAUCGUAAAACUCUGUUAUUAGGGAAGAACAAAUGUGUAAGUAACUAUGCACGUCUUGACGGUACCUAAUCAGAAAGCCACGGCUAACUACGUG
RNAcentral lists this ribosomal RNA (496 nucleotides) under uncultured bacterium. RNAcentral's name for it is "partial 16S ribosomal RNA". It matches the Rfam family "Bacterial small subunit ribosomal RNA", at positions 29 to 507 of the family's 1533-position model. The record is from RNAcentral.